This 360-nucleotide transfer-messenger RNA is filed under the name bacterium. RNAcentral's name for it is "4484-95 sp002085375 Standard tmRNA". It matches the Rfam family "transfer-messenger RNA". Rfam says of the family: Bacterial tmRNA, also known as 10Sa RNA or SsrA, is named for its dual tRNA and mRNA-like properties. Its role is to liberate the mRNA from a stalled ribosome. RNAcentral also lists the same sequence under 2 other names. The record is from RNAcentral.
GGGGGCGAUAGGUUUCGACGGGUUUAUUUUGUUCGGGUCUGCGUGCCGAUGCCCCGGACAUCGUUAAAAACGGGACAAACAACUAAGUGGCAACGAUUAUUCGUAUGCCCUGGCCGCCUAAUUAAAGGUGGCUCAUCCAAGCAAGGUUUGCUUUCCGGCUUUGCUCUGGAUGUCGAUCAGGGAAGCUGGCGAUGGAGGGUAUGCCUUAGCCCGAAACCGUGAGAUUUUGAUAUAAGGCCGGCUGGGUAGGAAGCCCGGUUUUCGGCGUCUUAUCCAGCGGGAUUAAAAGAAAACCUACACACGUAGACGACCCCUAUUGGGUAAAUCCGGACGGGGGUUCGAUUCCCCCCGCCUCCACCA